GCGGAUGGGCGGCGUGGAUGCGGCGAGGUAAGCACACAGCCCAGCUCACCACGCCGCGUGCUGGACGCGCUCCCGCGGGGCCGCCCGAGGAGAUCUAGACGGAGGCGGACUCCGUUGCCGAGGAGGCCCGCGCCUCCGCGCCAAGGCCGUCUCGGAGGUCGUCGACCGCCGCGACAUGCCACUGAUGUUGUGCUCAGACGGGCGACCAGAUGUCGCGACAUGCCACUGAUGCCGUCUCGGCGGGCGCAGACUGGAGCUUGCAGAACAAGCAAGGGUGGAGCGCGC
This 285-nucleotide long non-coding RNA is filed under the name Setaria italica (foxtail millet). RNAcentral's name for it is "long non-coding RNA (SITA_LNC005111)". Lineage: Eukaryota; Viridiplantae; Streptophyta; Magnoliopsida; Poales; Poaceae. The record is from RNAcentral.